Molecule: ribosomal RNA, 328 nt
Filed under: uncultured eukaryote
Lineage: Eukaryota
Description: partial 18S ribosomal RNA
Rfam family: Eukaryotic small subunit ribosomal RNA
Source: RNAcentral
CCCUUAGAUGUCCUGGGCUGCACGCGCGCUACACUGAUGUGUCCAGUAAGCACCUAACCUCUUCCGAAAGGAACGGGUAACCUUUGCAAAGCACAUCGUGAUGGGGAUAGAUUAUUGCAAUUAUUAGUCUUGAACGAGGAAUUCCUAGUAAGCACAAGUCAUCAGCUUGCGUUGAUUACGUCCCUGCCCUUUGUACACACCGCCCGUCGCUCCUACCGAUUGAAUGGCUUAGUGAGCCUUUGGGAUUGGCAGCCAACACCGGCAACGGUAGCUGGCCGCCGAAAACUUAUGCAAACUUGGUCAUUUAGAGGAAGUAAAAGUCGUAACA